UUUCCGGGCAGCAGCAACAUUGGUAGCGGAGGCGGAUUCUCACUGUUUCCGGCGGCUGAGAACCACCGGUUUGAUGGUCGGGCCUCGACGAACCAAGUGUUGACAAAUGCUGCAGCAUCAUCAGGAUUCUCUCCUCAUCA
Molecule: small RNA, 140 nt
Filed under: Arabidopsis thaliana (thale cress)
Lineage: Eukaryota; Viridiplantae; Streptophyta; Magnoliopsida; Brassicales; Brassicaceae
Description: ATSL236910
Source: RNAcentral